Molecule: long non-coding RNA, 867 nt
Organism: Biomphalaria glabrata
Lineage: Eukaryota; Metazoa; Mollusca; Gastropoda; Planorbidae
Exons: 3
Source: RefSeq, a predicted model, not a curated record
GUUUCAACAAGACGUCCAAUAUACAUGGCAAGUUUUCAAAGCAAAGAAACCGACCCUAAUUGGUACAUGGAACGUAAGAACCCGGAACCAAUGCUGUUCGAAAGGGAAAAAGGGAAAAGAAAACAAGAAAGCAUAAAAGUUAGAAAGGGAGACCAACCGUCUUCAAAACGAAAAAAAAAUUAUCAUGAAUAUCAGAAGCUAUCAACUACCAACUCUCAAAAACCACAAUUCUGUGUCCGCCAAUACAAACAGAAGAGACGUGCAUGUGUUGAAAGUGUUACCAAUACUAUUGUAUUGUUAGACCGACUGACGACUUGAUACCACAGGAUACAUGGGACGCUAAACAUUUGCUCUAAUCUGAAUUUAAACUCGAGCCUCCCACAUGGAAAGCCGACUUGUUAGCCACUGAGCUAUUCAAGUAGUUAAAACAAAAUAGAAGGUUUUAUAGGCUAUUAUUAGUUUUGAAAUAUUAGCAAACGAUCUAAUUCUCUAUACAAGGCUUAUAACUACUUAUCCUAAUACAUUUAAACAAAGUUAAUUAAUUAUGACUAAUUGAUUAAUUCAUUUUUUUUUAUUUGUGAUUGAUUCGUGUGUUGUCACCGAGCAUGAGCUUAUAUUCAAAAUUUGAUGUCGAUUUGGUGAGUAGAGAGGAUGGAAAAAUGAUUUCAAAAAUCUAAACAAGAAAGAUUAUAUAUACGGAGUUAGCUAAUAAACUUUGUAAAACGAACAUAGCUGAAACAGUUCAAACAGAAAUACACAACAAAAACAAGUAUUUUGAACUAUGGAUUGAAAUGAAUGUACACACGAUUUCAAGCUCUAGAAGCAACAAAAAAAAAAAAUAAUAAUAAUAAAAUAAAUUUAAAAACA